CCUACGGGAGGCAGCAGUGAGGAAUAUUGGGCAAUGGGGGCAACCCUGACCCAGCGAUGCCGCGUGAGUGAAGAAGGUUUUCGGAUUGUAAACCUCUUUCGGCUGGGACGAUGGUGACGGUUGCUACUCAAGAAGCCCCGGCUAACUCCGUGCCAGCAGCCGCGGUAAUACGGAGGGGGCGAGCGUUGUGCGGAAUUACUGGGCGUAAAGGGAGUGUAGGCGGUUUAGUAAGAUAGUGGUGAAAUCCCAGGGCUUAACUUGGGAAUGGCCAUUAAAACUAUUAAACUAGAGUGACAGAGAGGAUAGUGGAAUACCGAGUGUAGAGGUGAAAUUCGUAGAUAUUGGGUAGAACACCAGUGGCGAAGGCGACUAUCUGGCAGUUAACUGACGCUGAGGAGCGAAAGCAUGGGGAGCAAACAGGAUUAGAUACCCGUGUAGUC
This 440-nucleotide ribosomal RNA is filed under the name uncultured bacterium. Its description in RNAcentral is "partial 16S ribosomal RNA". It matches the Rfam family "Bacterial small subunit ribosomal RNA", at positions 338 to 795 of the family's 1533-position model. The record is from RNAcentral.